UUCCGCGGUAGCUCAAUGGUGGAGCACUCGGCUGUUAACCGAUAGGUUGAAGGUUCGAAUCCUUUCCGCGGAGCCAU
RNAcentral lists this transfer RNA (77 nucleotides) under Clostridium botulinum A str. Hall. RNAcentral's name for it is "tRNA-Asn". It matches the Rfam family "tRNA". Rfam says of the family: Transfer RNA (tRNA) molecules are approximately 80 nucleotides in length. Lineage: Bacteria; Bacillati; Bacillota; Clostridia; Eubacteriales; Clostridiaceae. The record is from RNAcentral. RNAcentral also lists the same sequence under 5 other names.